RNAcentral lists this non-coding RNA (337 nucleotides) under Fukomys damarensis (Damara mole-rat). RNAcentral's name for it is "TrkB IRES". It matches the Rfam family "TrkB IRES". From Rfam's summary of the family: This family represents the TrkB internal ribosome entry site (IRES) which is present in the 5' leader sequence of the mRNA. TrkB is a neurotrophin receptor which is essential for the development and maintenance of the nervous system. The record is from Rfam by way of RNAcentral. Lineage: Eukaryota; Metazoa; Chordata; Mammalia; Rodentia; Bathyergidae.
CCCCUGCGCGUCUAGCCAGGAGUCUGCGCCCUAGAGCGUCCCCAGCACCAGGGGCUGGUGCCCAGCGUGCUAACCAUGCGUCUGCGGCCACGGCGGAGCUCCGAGCGGCUUUAGCGCCCCCUGCGAAGCACCCCGCGAUGCCCCAGCCACUGUGAAUCUUGCCGUCCGCCCAGAUACACUCAGCCCGGGACACCAGCCUUGGACAGCCUGGACUCUGCGCGCGCAGUGACGGACAGAAGCGUCCAGAGGGCAGAAAGUGCAGGGAGGCCUCCCCGGCAGGGGAAGCCGGCGGGUGAGGCGCGGGGACACGCACCCUAGCUGGCACUGGCGACUAGGG